AAAUGCUUCCCUUAUUUUCAGUACGACUGCAACUGUUUUUAGUGCUUGUAUUCUAGUGUUAAUAUAGAAAUAAAUCUUAUCGUGUGAAUUCUGUCCGCCUGACACUUUCGAGUAAGUGAAAUACCUCUCUGCACAGCACCCCAAAAUGGCAAACAUGGUUGGUGUCGGGAUCUGGAAGAUUGCUCUUCUGCUUCUCUCUCUUUCCCUCCUGUCUGACAGAGGGGACAGUGCUUUAUCUGAAGAUAAUCUUCAGAAAAUUAUGACACAAAUGUUCAACAGGUUUGACCAACAGGCAUUAAUACAACAAAUGAAAGUGAUAAACAAUAGAAUACCAACUAGGAAAAGAGCUACAGGCAUACAGUACAGUAUUACUCUUCCACUCUCAGAAGACGACUGUAAGAAAGGACAGCUGGGAAACAACAUCCCUGCAGACUUCGCAGACAUCAGGAACACUCUAGCUGAAGAAAAGGUGUACAACAAAGACAAUGUUGUUGCAGCGCUUCCUCGCCAUAUAUAUGACCAAAAUAAGAAAACUACUGACCAUUCUGAAUACAGAGUCCUCAUGGCACUAGAACAACAAAACAUUAGCCCUGGAUGUCUAAUUAUCUACACUUAUUUCAGUCCUUGUUUCGCAAAGUGCCUGUCCAAUAACCAUCAUGCCAAUAUCAUUAAUCUACUCAAUAAUUUAAAAAACAAAAACAAAAACACAGACAUUGCAUUAGUUUUUAGUGCACUAUUUCAUUAUGACCGGGACAGCAGUACAAAAGAUCAAAUUUACGAGAACCUGAAAGCAAUCACCGCAGUCCCUGUUUAUUGCUGUUAUGAAAAAGGAGAACGUGUUAUCUGUGCAAUGUUUGAUAGAAAUAAAGAUAAGAACCAGCACUGCCUUUCAGAAAAAAUGUAAAGCCUCAUAGGGGAGGCGAUCUUGAAAAAAGGCUUCUCCAACAUGAAACCUUCUGGAUCUAUUUCCUCAAUACUAUGUCCCCAACGGUCUAAAUUAGUAAUUUGAUAUAAAACCUUUUUUGUGAUUUUCUUUUUUUGCCCUCUUUUCCAGUACCCUAGUAUGCUAGUGGCUAAAAAACUAUUAUUGACUAUUAUUCUUAUAUGAUAUGUAAAAAAAUGUUUACUUGUUGCUUGUUGGUAUGUCGUUUGCUACUUUUUCUAUUAUGUAUCUCUAUAUAUUUUUCUAUUGUGGUAUUAUUAAAUGUUAGUAUGUGUUUGCACUAUUUUUUUUACUAUAUUAUCGAGUGGCCAAUGUGGUAUAGCCUACUUAAUUGGCUGACAUUGAUGUCAGUAUGAUAUCAUUGGCUUACUGUCUAUAUAUACCUUUUUAUCUGUCGUGUCAGUCAUUUGCCUGAUGAAGACCCUGUUGGGUUGACAUGUUGCUUUGCUUUUUAGUCAAUAAAGUAUUGGGAGCUGUAA
This is a long non-coding RNA of Anguilla anguilla (European eel), 1422 nucleotides long. RefSeq lists it as uncharacterized. The record is from RefSeq and is a predicted model, not a curated record. NCBI's taxonomy places the organism in Eukaryota, Metazoa, Chordata, Actinopteri, Anguilliformes, Anguillidae. The transcript has 4 exons.